GAGAAAGACAUAGUGGUUAUGAUGUUGGCUUGAAACCAAUUCUUGGGGGUUCGAAUCCUUCCUUUCUUA
Molecule: transfer RNA, 69 nt
Filed under: Pteropus scapulatus (little red flying fox)
Lineage: Eukaryota; Metazoa; Chordata; Mammalia; Chiroptera; Pteropodidae
Description: tRNA-Ser
Rfam family: tRNA
About the family: Transfer RNA (tRNA) molecules are approximately 80 nucleotides in length.
Source: RNAcentral